GACGAACGCUGGCGGCGUGCUUAACACAUGCAAGUCGAACGGAAAGGCCUUUUCGGAGGUACUCGAGUGGCGAACGGGUGAGUAACACGUGGGUGAACUGCCCUGCACUCUGGGAUAAGCCUGGGAAACUGGGUCUAAUACCGGAUAGGACCGCACUUUAGUGUGUGUGGUGGAAAGUUUUUUCGGUGUAGGAUGAGCCCGCGGCCUAUCAGCUUGUUGGUGGGGUAAUGGCCUACCAAGGCGGCGACGGGUAGCCGGACUGAGAGGUUGGUCGGCCACAUUGGGACUGAGAUACGGCCCAGACUCCUACGGGAGGCAGCAGUGGGGAAUAUUGCACAAUGGGCGCAAGCCUGAUGCAGCGACGCCGCGUGGGGGAUGACGGCCUUCGGGUUGUAAACUCCUUUCGCCAGGGACGAAGCGUUUUGUGACGGUACCUGGAGAAGAAGCACCGGCUAACUACGUG
Molecule: ribosomal RNA, 463 nt
Filed under: uncultured bacterium
Lineage: Bacteria
Description: partial 16S ribosomal RNA
Rfam family: Bacterial small subunit ribosomal RNA
Source: RNAcentral